Molecule: RNase P RNA, 288 nt
Filed under: Candidatus Karelsulcia muelleri
Lineage: Bacteria; Pseudomonadati; Bacteroidota; Flavobacteriia; Flavobacteriales
Description: RNA component of RNase P enzyme
Rfam family: Bacterial RNase P class A
About the family: Ribonuclease P (RNase P) is a ubiquitous endoribonuclease, found in archaea, bacteria and eukarya as well as chloroplasts and mitochondria. Its best characterised activity is the generation of mature 5'-ends of tRNAs by cleaving the 5'-leader elements of precursor-tRNAs.
Source: RNAcentral
UUAUCGCAUUGUUUUUUUUUAAACAAACAAUGAGGAAAGUCUGGAAUCACUAGGGAUAACGCAACGGGUAACUCCCGUACAUCGUGAGAUGAGGAAUAGUGCAACAGAAAGUAUGUACAGUUGAGCUGUAGUGAAAUCAUGUAAACUCUGUGUUGUGAAAUGCCAAAUAUACCAGAAGUAUAGUAGUAUAGUUCAUCCCUAACUAAAUAUCUGGGGGGUAGGCAGAUCGAGAUAAAGGGUAACUUUUAUCCUAGAUAAAUGAUAAAUUAAACUGAAUCCGGCUUAUAA